Molecule: ribosomal RNA, 305 nt
Filed under: uncultured bacterium
Lineage: Bacteria
Description: bacterial SSU rRNA
Rfam family: Bacterial small subunit ribosomal RNA
Source: RNAcentral
GCGGGCCUACGGGGCGCAGCAGUGGGGGAUAUUGCACAAUGGGGGAAACCCUGAUGCAGCGACGCCGCGUGAGUGAAGAAGUAUUUCGGUACGUAAAGCUCUAUCAGCAGGGAAGAAAAAUGACGGUACCUGACUAAGAAGCCCCGGCUAACUACGUGCCAGCAGCCGCGGUAAUACGUAGGGGGCAAGCGUUAUCCGGAUUUACUGGGUGUAAAGGGAGCGUAGACGGCAGCGCAAGUCUGGAGUGAAAUGCCGGGGCCCAACCCCGGAACUGCUCUGGAAACUGUGAAGCUGGAGUGCAGGAG